UUUGAUCCUGGCUCAGGACGAACGCUGGCGGCGCGCCUAACACAUGCAAGUCGAACGAGCGAGAGAGAGCUUGCUUUCUCGAGCGAGUGGCGAACGGGGUGAGUAACGCGUGAGGAAACUGCCUCAAAGAGGGGGACAACAGUUGGAAACGACUGCUAAUACCGCAUAAGCCCACGGUGCCGCAUGGCACAGAGGGAAAAGGAGUAAUCCGCUUUGAGAUGGCCUCGCGUCCGAUUAGCUAGUUGGUGAGGUAACGGCCCACCAAGGCGACGAUCGGUAGCCGGACUGAGAGGUUGAACGGCCACAUUGGGACUGAGACACGGCCCAGACUCCUACGGGAGGCAGCAGUGGGGAAUAUUGCACAAUGGGGGAAACCCUGAUGCAGCGACGCCGCGUGGAGGAAGAAGGUCUUCGGAUUGUAAACUCCUGUUGUUGGGGAAGAUAAUGACGGUACCCAACAAGGAAGUGACGGCUAACUACGUGCCAGCAGCCGCGGUAAAACGUAGGUCACAAGCGUUGUCCGGAAUUACUGGGUGUAAAGGGAGCGCAGGCGGGAAGACAAGUUGGAAGUGAAAUCUAUGGGCUCAACCCAUAAACUGCUUUCAAAACUGUUUUUCUUGAGUAGUGCAGAGGUAGGCGGAAUUCCCGGUGUAGCGGUGGAAUGCGUAGAUAUCGGGAGGAACACCAGUGGCGAAGGCGGCCUACUGGGCACCAACUGACGCUGAGGCUCGAAAGUGUGGGUAGCAAACAGGAUUAGAUACCCUGGUAGUCCACACCGUAAACGAUGAUUACUAGGUGUUGGAGGAUUGACCCCUUCAGUGCCGCAGUAACACAAUAAGUAAUCCACCUGGGA
Molecule: ribosomal RNA, 853 nt
Filed under: uncultured Bacillota bacterium
Lineage: Bacteria; Bacillati; Bacillota
Description: bacterial SSU rRNA
Rfam family: Bacterial small subunit ribosomal RNA
Source: RNAcentral